RNAcentral lists this ribosomal RNA (180 nucleotides) under uncultured bacterium. Its description in RNAcentral is "partial 16S ribosomal RNA". It matches the Rfam family "Bacterial small subunit ribosomal RNA", at positions 1319 to 1500 of the family's 1533-position model. The record is from RNAcentral.
UAUGAAGUUGGAAUCGCUAGUAAUCGCGGAUCAGCAUGCCGCGGUGAAUACGUUCCCGGGCCUUGUACACACCGCCCGUCACACCAUGAGAGUUGGGAAUACCCGAAGCCUGUGAGCUAACGUAAGAGGCAGCAGUCGAAGGUAGAAUCAAUGAUUGGGGUGAAGUCGUAACAAGGUAAC